RNAcentral lists this ribosomal RNA (301 nucleotides) under uncultured bacterium. RNAcentral describes it as "partial 16S ribosomal RNA". It matches the Rfam family "Bacterial small subunit ribosomal RNA", at positions 509 to 809 of the family's 1533-position model. The record is from RNAcentral.
CAGUAGCCGCGGUAAUACGUAGGUGGCAAGCGUUGUCCGGAAUUAUUGGGCGUAAAGGGCUCGCAGGCGGUUUCUUAAGUCUGAUGUGAAAGCCCCCGACUCAACCGGGGAGGGUCAUUGGAAACUGGGAAACUUGAGUGCAGAAGAGGAGAGUGGAAUUCCACGUGUAGCGGUGAAAUGCGUAGAGAUGUGGAGGAACACCAGUGGCGAGGGCGACUCUCUGGUCUGUAACUGACGCUGAGGAGCGAAAGUGUGGGGAGCGAACAGGAUUAGAUACCCCUGUAGUCCCUGUCUCUUAUAA